GGUAAAACGGCUGAGCAAGCCUUAGACUGUAAAUCUAAAGACAGAGGUUAAGGCCUCUUUUUACCA
Transfer RNA from Chlorocebus sabaeus (green monkey), 66 nucleotides. It matches the Rfam family "tRNA". From Rfam's summary of the family: Transfer RNA (tRNA) molecules are approximately 80 nucleotides in length. Their secondary structure includes four short double-helical elements and three loops (D, anti-codon, and T loops). The record is from Rfam. Lineage: Eukaryota; Metazoa; Chordata; Mammalia; Primates; Cercopithecidae.